This 253-nucleotide ribosomal RNA is filed under the name uncultured bacterium. RNAcentral's name for it is "partial 16S ribosomal RNA". It matches the Rfam family "Bacterial small subunit ribosomal RNA", at positions 524 to 776 of the family's 1533-position model. The record is from RNAcentral.
UACGAGGGGGGCAAAUGUUGUUCGGAAUCACUGGGCGUAAAGGGAGCGUAGGCGGGUUUUUAAGUCAGGUGUUUAAUCCCGGGGCCCAACCCCGGACAGGCACUUGAAACUGGGAAUCUUGAAUAGUGGAGAGGUCGGUGGAAUUGGGGGUGUAGCGGUGGAAUGCGUAGAGAUCCGGAAGAACACCGGUGGCGAAGGCGGCCUGCUGGGCUAUGGCUGACACUGAGGCGCGACAGCGUGGGGAGCAAACAGG